This 253-nucleotide ribosomal RNA is filed under the name uncultured bacterium. RNAcentral describes it as "partial 16S ribosomal RNA". It matches the Rfam family "Bacterial small subunit ribosomal RNA", at positions 524 to 776 of the family's 1533-position model. The record is from RNAcentral.
UACGUAGGGUGCGAGCGUUAAUCGGAAUUACUGUGCGUAAAGCGUGCGCAGGCGGUUUUGUAAGCCAGAUGUGAAAUCCCCGGGCUUAACCUGGGAAUGGCAUUUGGGACUGCAAGGCUCGAGUGCGGCAGAGGAGACUGGAAUUCCUGGUGUAGCAGUGAAAUGCGUAGAUAUCAGGAGGAACACCGAUGGCGAAGGCAGGUCUCUGGGCUGACACUGACGCUCAUGCACGAAAGCGUGGGGAGCAAACAGG